GCACAAGCGGUGGAGUAUGUGGUUUAAUUCGAUGCAACGCGAAGAACCUUACCUGGUCUUGACAUCCCGGAGACCCUUAGGAAACUAGGGGGUGCUUCCAUCUGGAAGAAUCUGGAGACAGGUGCUGCAUGGCUGUCGUCAGCUCGUGUCGUGAGAUGUUGGGUUAAGUCCCGCAACGAGCGCAACCCUUGCCUUUAGUUGCCAGCAGUUCGGCUGGGCACUCUAAAGGGACUGCCGGUGUUAAACCGGAGGAAGGUGGGGAUGACGUCAAGUCCUCAUGGCCUUUAUGACCAGGGCUACACACGUACUACAAUGGCCGAUACAAAGGGCAGCGACACUGCGAGGUGAAGCCAAUCCCGUAAAAUCGGUCUCAGUCCGGAUUGGAGUCUGCAACUCGACUCCAUGAAGUUGGAAUCGCUAGUAAUCGUGGCUCAGCAUGCCACGGUGAAUACGUUCCCGGGCCUU
This 465-nucleotide ribosomal RNA is filed under the name uncultured Desulfobulbus sp. RNAcentral's name for it is "bacterial SSU rRNA". It matches the Rfam family "Bacterial small subunit ribosomal RNA", at positions 923 to 1382 of the family's 1533-position model. The record is from RNAcentral. Lineage: Bacteria; Pseudomonadati; Thermodesulfobacteriota; Desulfobulbia; Desulfobulbales; Desulfobulbaceae.